UGAGGUUUAGCCAAGCGGUAAGGCACCGGACUCUGACUCCGGCAUUUCCCAGGUUCGAUCCCUGGAACCUCAGCCA
Molecule: transfer RNA, 76 nt
Filed under: compost metagenome
Description: tRNA-Gln
Rfam family: tRNA
About the family: Transfer RNA (tRNA) molecules are approximately 80 nucleotides in length.
Source: RNAcentral